UGCGCGGGAGCUCGGCUCCUCCCCACGAGCCCCGGCCGGGCGGGAGGCGGGAAACGGCCGCCUUCACCCUACCCCGCCCGGGAUCCCGCAAUCCCGCCGCGCCAGUCAGCUCCCCGCUCACCUGUCAAUCCUCCUCCGGGGCUGGCGGCUCGGGGCGGCCCGGGCUCCUGGCUACGCGUCCCCGCCGGUUCCGGGAGCCCGCGCGUCUCAGGGUGACUCGCUCAGCCCCACCGCUCAGAGUAGCUGUCAGAAGUGCAGGCGCCAGGGGUCACUCAAGUAACCCCGAGAUCAGGAUUGAACCCGAAUGCUCCGAUGCUGUGCAGAAGGGGCAGACUGCCUGUAGCCUCGGAUGUGGAUGUCAAGUAAAGCCCCAUUGUGGGGCAGGGCAGGAUGCUCACAGAGCAAAUACAUCUUACUGAGCCCAGGGUUAUGAAUCUGUUUUGUACAAACCGACUGCUUGUGUGAGUUCUUCAGAAUCGCGGCUUCUGAGUCAUUGAAGGUGACUCUGCCCCUACCCCUCCUGAAGUGGUUGCUGACAUUGGCACAAAUGGAACUGUCGAGAUUGGGCGUGUUCUCUCUGGCCUUGGAGCUGGGUGCUGCAGAGGGAGAGCAGGCUCGGAUGAUCUUGGCCCUUCCCAAAUGAGGUUAUAGGCAGUCCCCAAGAGCUUUAACAACUCACUCCUGAGCCCCGGGCGGGUCUCUGCUCACUCCCAAGCUCUUCUGAAUACCCCUUUAGGUAUGAAUUUGAAGAUCUGAUUUGACUAUCAGCCCCAAAAUGCUCAGGUCUGUUGUGGGGUUUUAGUCUUCAUUGUAUCCCUUUGUCAUAUGGGUAAGCAGAACAGGAUCUACCUUACCUCUGGAGACAGAACACUCAAGGUCUUUCUAGUGAAAAGGUUCAGAGAAAGCUCACAGUGUUUGUCAACGUGGAAACUGGUUGGAGUACAUUGAUGGUCUCAUGGCCACAGUCAGGGAUGAACUAACAGCAUCUGGGUUUGCCCACGUGCUUUCGGAAUAGGCUGCACUUCAUCACACAUUCAAUCUUUGGAAUAAACUGUCACCAUUUUAGUGUUAGUUGAAGUAUAUACAGCAACACACUGGGCUAGGAUAGAGCUCAGAGGCGGAGUGUUUGCCUGGCGUACACGAGGCUGUCUGUGGUUUCAGUCACCAGCACCAAAAUAAUCAUAAUUUUUAUUGAUAGAGAAAGAUGUUUGCUAGGCUGGCUUCCUGUCACUGUGGUCCACCUGUGCCAGACUGGGGGUGGCUGCUUUAGGAGGGACUCACCUUCGGAAAGCAAGCAUCUUCUAGUCACUCAUCUCUCUUUGAGAGUUAAACGUUAGGAUGUGGGUCUGGAGUGAUGACUCCACAGUUAAGAGCGCAUACUGCUCUUGAGGAUCUGAGUUCAAUUCCCAACAACUCCAGCUCCAGGGGAUCAAACGUUUCUGCUUCCAAGGGCACUUGCACUAG
Long non-coding RNA from Peromyscus eremicus (cactus mouse), 1464 nucleotides. RefSeq lists it as uncharacterized. The record is from RefSeq and is a predicted model, not a curated record. Lineage: Eukaryota; Metazoa; Chordata; Mammalia; Rodentia; Cricetidae. The transcript is spliced from 3 exons.